This is a long non-coding RNA of Tetranychus urticae (two-spotted spider mite), 1323 nucleotides long. RefSeq lists it as uncharacterized. The record is from RefSeq and is a predicted model, not a curated record. NCBI's taxonomy places the organism in Eukaryota, Metazoa, Arthropoda, Arachnida, Trombidiformes, Tetranychidae.
UGUUAUAUGUUUACUAUUAUUGUUACAAUUAGUUGGUUUUAUUUAUAAAUUUAAAUUAUUAUGCUAUUUAGUUACUUUAAAUUGUGUUAUUUAACAUACCUUCAUUAGUUAAUAUCUGGUAAAAGCCUUGUAACAUUUAUUUCAUUAGGUAGCGUAAAUUAUAAACCACUAGAGUUAGGCUUUUCAAUUAUUAUGAACAUUAUUUUCAUCUAAAAUUUAAAUUGCUUAAAAAUACGUUAAUUUAAUCAUCGUCAUCUAAUGGUUGUGUUGUAAUACACAAAAUGUCUCAUUUAAUCAACUGUAACCAGGCUCCUGUUAAUCUCAACAAUCAAUUUGAGCUUUCUCUUGAUUUUGGUUGAUAGUUUUUUUGCUACCGCUGUUGAUGCUGAUGUUUGGAUUAAUACGGAACAGAUAAUCAACGAUAGGUGUUCAAAUCAAGUGUCCUUAAUUGAGCUAACUUAAUUAACAGGAUAAGUUGGUGAAUCAAAGUGAUCAAGAAAACGCAAGGAGAUGAAAAGAAGUUAUAAGUCAAUUGAAAUAUUCCAUUCAAAUCAGGAUCAAGCUAAUCUUUUAAUAACACUGCUCAAGGCCAGGUCGGAUCAGAUCAUCAUCCUGUAUCAAUUGAAAGUGGACACAAAACCCGAAUCAAUUUUCAAUCAAUUGGGUUCUCCUUUUUUUCUGGUUAAAGACCAUCAUCUCUAAUCCUUCAAAUCAAUUGAUCAAUUGGUUCGGAUAAACAGAUUAUAAUGCCACUCAAUCUCGCGAAACAUUGUUACCAUGUAAUUCGGUCGUCAUUUCAAUCUCUCCAAACGAAUUGACGCCAAAAAAAUGAAAUCCUACGUUCCUUGGCCAUUAAAAAAUACAUCACUUUUGCCGAUACAAUUAAGAUAACUUAAUCUUAUUGUAUAAGUCUGUCAAACAGUAAAGCAAACAUAAUGUUCAAACAUGUUCAAGGUGCAACAAUAGGCCAUUAAUAUUGUGAUAUAAUUACAUCUACUUAUGCUAAUAGCAGGAGCAAUGGUCAAAAGCAUAUCAAACCAAGAUUUAUCUUAAAUUGCUAUACUUAAUUGAAUUAGAUUUCAUUUGCUAUCAUUUACCGAUUAACCUUGACCCGAUCUUUGAAUACAUUUUCACACUGGAAAUUGAAUUGAACGUUAAUAGCCAAGUUGAUCAAGGUAAAAAUGUGAAGAUUUACGCCCGAUGAUUAGAUUAUUCAGUGUAUCAGAAAUGUAAAUAAAUAUUGAAAAUACUUGCAUUGCUAUUUAAUUUGUAGAUCAGUUCAAUCAAUGGUUAAAGUAAAUUAAACUUGCAAUUUGAAAACAA